GGGUUGGGCCCCAGCAGUGUAUGAACUCAUAGGGUCCCCGCCUUAUCAACUUAAGUAGGACUUAAGACGCAAGCGCUCUUGGGCAGCCAGCUUGGAUGCGCAGGAGGUGCAGAGGUCUAAAUAACUGAAAAUAGAUUACAAGGCUAAUAUAUAAGACAUUGCACGUGGACUCUUAUUCUCUGUAAAGGGCGCGAGCAAGCACAUCGGGAUGGAGAUAUGACUAAGUAGUUACCAGAGCGUAUCCCAAGCAUCUUCGCAGCAGUGUACCUGCAAGCAGGAACUGCUGGCAGAGCGCGGUCUUGCGGGAGCUGCUUGCAUGGCCACGCUCCACCAGAUUCCCGCUUCAAAAUCCCGGCAUGCCAACUGGGCGCUGUCCUGCUGCCACAAGGUGCCACAUCCCAGCCACUUCGCAGCAAACCGGAAAUUCAUGCACUUGAGAUGUAGAGAUGCAGCUAUUUGUUUUUAAGAUUUGGUUUGUGUUCCUUUCGUAAGGCCAAGACGAGCCAGGAGGCUCAUAAACUAAAAAAAGGAAAAACGGAGGGAAAAUCUCUAGACUUAAUAAACAAAUUACGGUAGUCACUGGAUAAACGACAGGUGCAUCCUUAACAACCGAGUAUCGUAUCAAACGCCUUGGAAAACAAGCUUCGACUUCUCGAAGCGAAGUAUGAGUGUAGAGAUAGGCAAGUUAUUGCGAAGGAACUGCCGUGGUGCGUGGAAGUAGGGCGCAUGCAUGCAUGCAUGUGCCGGACCGCAGUACGGCAAGGGACGCCGAGCUCCUACUUGGGUCCCACAGGCGCAUUGGUUCUUUAACUGCCGUUGUUUUGACUAUUACCAAGAGGUGUGUCCCGCUGCUGGGACAGUGUCCUCUAGUUAUGUGUUGCACCGUCUUUUCUUAGCAAUACUAGAAUCGAAUGUCGGCUAUGGAAAUUGGCGCUGCGGGCGCAGAAAGAUUAGUGCUCACUCCCGAAAUGCGGGCCCUCUUCGAACAGCAGCUAGCUGAGGAGCGCGAGUUAUUUCGCCAGCACUCACAGCUUACUUCGACCGGAGGCUGAAGGAGCACGAGGAGCUAACCCAGCUGAUGUUAGCUCAGCCCGAAGCGAUAAUCUUUUACAAUGUGCGGAGCCGCCGGCCCUUAGCCAGCCACCCGCAAUUACGCGGAUCCUGGGCCUUGGUGAAGGUUGUGCGCGUCGCUAUUGAGCGCAUUAACUUAAUUUGAACAGCAAUGGCGGAUGAUGCGUCCGAAGAAGGUCAGGCGUUGCUGAAAGCUGUCACGUGGUUAACCAACCUCCGCUAUUUAGCUUCCAUUGCCGCUAGGAACGCCACCAUACAUUAGGAGUUCAAAUCCGUUAUGAAAUGUUGUUAUCUUGAGUUGUGAAUUCUAAUGCGUACCN
Molecule: long non-coding RNA, 1391 nt
Filed under: Volvox carteri
Lineage: Eukaryota; Viridiplantae; Chlorophyta; Chlorophyceae; Chlamydomonadales; Volvocaceae
Description: long non-coding RNA (VCAR_LNC000061)
Source: RNAcentral